Molecule: ribosomal RNA, 254 nt
Filed under: uncultured bacterium
Lineage: Bacteria
Description: partial 16S ribosomal RNA
Rfam family: Bacterial small subunit ribosomal RNA
Source: RNAcentral
UACGGAGGGGGCUAGCGUUGUUCGGAAUUACUGGGCGUAAAGGGCGCGCAGGCGGCUGCUCAAGUCAGGCGUGAAAGGCCUGGGCUCAACCCGGGAAUUGCGCUUGAGACUGGGCUGGCUUGAGUGCGGGAGAGGAUGGUGGAAUUCCCAGUGUAGAGGUGAAAUUCGUAGGUAUUGGGAAGAACACCGGUGGCGAAGGCGGCCAUCUGGACCGCAACUGACGCUGAGGCGCGAAAGCGUGGGGAGCAAACAGG